Long non-coding RNA from Pan troglodytes (chimpanzee), 2774 nucleotides. RefSeq lists it as uncharacterized. NCBI's taxonomy places the organism in Eukaryota, Metazoa, Chordata, Mammalia, Primates, Hominidae. The record is from RefSeq and is a predicted model, not a curated record. The transcript has 3 exons.
AGUCUGUGUCAGAGGCCUAGAGGCUCUCACUAUGGCAUGGACCCUCAUCCUCGAGCCCCACUACUCAGAGGAGCUGGGAAGAAUUUCCACCCUUCCUAGUGGCAAGUCUCACUGUGAGAGCAGAGUGCCACCAGGCAAACAGGGCAGAAAGACUGCUUUAAGGAGAAUCCUUAUAUUGGGGGUUAUGAAGUGCAAUACACCCUCAUCCUCACGCUAACACUGGUACCAUGUAGCCCAAGCUUGUCUAACCUGCAGCCCGCGGGCUGUGUAUGGCCCAGGACAGCUUUGAAUGUGGCCCAACGCAAAUUUGUAAACUUUCUAAAACAUUAUGAGAUUUUUUUUUUUCUCAUCAGCUAUCAUUAGUGUGAGUGUAUGUUAUUUGUGACUCCAGACAAUUCUUCUUUUCCAAUGUGGCCCAGAGAAGCCAAAAGACUGGACACCCCUGAUGUGGCCCUUUCAUCCAUAGUAGCCUAUUUUGUCCUAAAGACGGUCUUGUGCAUUGAGUAGGCCAGGCCUCCACACUACCACAGUUUACAGGCAAGGAAUGUGAUAUUUCAUAGGAUGACCCUGACUGGCACCUACAUUGCUAGCCAAAGAAUGGCACAAAGAUGUGGACAGAAGAGACAACCUUAAGCAGCUGACUGCUGGCUCCUGCAACAGUGUCAUCAUGGCAUUUGUCCUGGGGUCCCAAGGAAAGAAAACAAAUCUGCGGCUGAGGAACAGGCUGAGUUGACAAAGCGGCUUCCACAGUAACAUAAGGACAAAGGGUGUAUGUAGAUAUGCACGUGGUAGCAGGUUCUACUAAAGGAACCUGGACCGACCAUUCUUACUCACAUUCUUUGGGAGCUGUAUUCUAAUACUUUCAGAAAAGCCAUGGGAACACACCAGAGUGACUGCUCGAGUAAAUAAGUAGCAUACACAGCAAGCCAAACCAUUGAUGUACACAUCACUGGGCCCAAUACUAUGAAAUCUCACAUAAGAAACUUGAAAGUGAAAGGUGGAAUUCUGAGGAUACUGGUUUUGCUUAAUAAACAGCAUUUCAACAGUUAUUGUCAUGAUAUUGCUACUGAUGCUGAACAAAGACCCAAGAACCAGGGUGAUGUUUAGCAUGGGCUGGCCUCAGCAGGACUGAAAGGACAUCAAUAAAGGAGAACAGAGAGAAGGAAGGAGGACAAGUGCCAACUUUGAGCAGGUAUCAGGUGUAUGUGGGGGCAAACCAUUUCUCCGUCCACCCUGAUGAUGAGUCCCCGUUUCCCUUUUUAAGGCCGGAUUUUUGCACCCUCACCCCACCUAAGGCAGCCAGGGCCCCACACUGCAAUACUCCUAGGUAACAUCCAUACUUUUUUUUUUUUUUGAGAUAGAGUCUCGCACUGUCACCCAGGUUGGAGUGCAAUGGCGAUAUCUCGGCUCACUGCAACCUCCGCCUCUCAGGUUCACGUGAUUCUCCCGCCUCAGCCUCCCGAGUAGCUGGGAUUACAGGCGCACACCACCAUACCCGGCUAAUUUUUUGUAUUUUUGGUAGAGACAGGGUUUCACUAUGUUGGCCAGACUGGCGUCGAACUCCUGACCUCGUGAUCUGCCCGCCUCGGCCUCCCAAAGUGCUGGGAUUACAGGCGUGAGCCACUGUGCCUGGCCAACAUCCAUACUCUUGAUCUGUUCCUCCACCCACAGCACUGCUUAUCUGUCCAGGCUCUCGUUCCUUCAUUACACAGCUUUCUGCUGGGAAUCAGAUAACUAAUAUAAAGAUGAUACUAACGAUUAAUGGAGGCUUCAUGGAGUCUCCCAGAAAUAUCACGUUUGUGGUUAAUUUCCAAAGGCUACUGGUAGGGAUUUCUCAAUCUACCAUGAGUCUGAAAAAGAGAUGAUUUUCAUCAGAGCUAUUCUCAGGACUCUUUAAAUCAGGCCCUCAAGUGCUUAUCUUCUUUGCCUAUGUUUAGAGUCAACCCUUAAAGCAAGUAAACAGUAUCCCCAUAUAUUUAGGAAUUCUCAAAAUCCUUGGAUUUGUUCAUACUAAGCUACUGUUAUACUCAUUUUUAAAAAAAUUUUUGGGCUCACUUUUCACCAUCUGCAUAAUGGGCAUAUAACAUAAAUCCAUUCUGUAUCACUUAAUCAUGUCUUAUCCUAGAUGAAUAAACACAUGAAAAAUCAGCCUGUAAAUCAGAGAAUGUAGCUGUGUUAACUGGAGAUGGGAAAGGGGAGCAGGUAGAAUUAAUAUUACCAUUAGUCAUGACUAAAGCCAAACUUAGCAGUUUUAAAACUAUUUAACCAUCCUGAUUGUAUAUUGGAAUCAACUGGGAAUUUUUCUUUUAACUACCAAUUCUUAGGCCCCAUCCCCAAAGAUUCUGAUUCAAUUGAUAUGAAGUAAGAUCUGAGCAUCAGAAUUUUUGUUUACAGUUCCUAAGGUAAUUCUCUUGUGCCACCAAGACUGAGAACCAGUGUUUUAAAAUAGUAUUGGGAAUACACAGUAGGUGAAAAACUGGCAUCAUAUUAGGUGGGUCUUGGUUGUGAUCAUGAGCUGAGGAGAGCUCUAUAUUCUGGAAGCACUCAGCAACGGAUAUUCAAUGGGGUUCACACCAUGGUUGCAGUUUGGGGGAAAGAACCCUUGGAGAGAAAGCAAGAACCACAAGAAUCACUGAAUCAUGGGUUAGAGGAGCCCUCCAAAAUCACCUCCUUCAAUCCUCUUCCUAAUUUCUGUGUGAGCACUGGCCAUUUAAUUUAUGUUUCUGGGCCUCAGUUCCCCUGUCCAUUAAAUAAACAGGUUGAAUUAAAUACAA